Molecule: long non-coding RNA, 2439 nt
Organism: Cryptotermes secundus
Lineage: Eukaryota; Metazoa; Arthropoda; Insecta; Blattodea; Kalotermitidae
Exons: 3
Source: RefSeq, a predicted model, not a curated record
UGCUGCGCUAAGUUUCAGACCGUAUUUUGAACUGUUAUUUUUUUUUGCGUGAAAUAAUUCUUUUGAUAUGAAAUUAAAGACGAAAUUGCCGGUUAUCAUUUCGUAUAUCUGUUGUCCCACUUUGAACUUCCCGCGGUAUUUGUAUUUGAAGAAAUUUUGUACAUCAAUGGCUAGUACGCUGCAUUGCCGUACAUACCUACCCCUAUCUUGGGGAAUUCUUAUGAACUAAAUAUGACAGAUCGAUAGUGUGUGCAUUCCCAGCGUGUUGGUCGAAUCAAUAGUCGAUUCUUUGGAAGCAGAAUAUGACAAGUGCUGCUGCUAGUUGUUUUAGUUCUAGAUUGGAAUUAGGAAAGCACGCGGACCACGAGAAAUGGAGAAACCACGUGUAGAAAAUAGGCUAAUAGCGUUAAGCUGUGUUCGGUGACGACCAGUUAGAAUGUUUACUUCAAAGCGAUUCCGAGUAAAAUUUGUCAGAUUUAGAUUUUGACACAGAAAAUGAAUUGGAAGAUCGUGCUUUGCUUGAUACUGUGAGAAAUGAGGGCAGUCAUGAAGAUGACAGUGCUACUCAAAAGACUUAAUUUGGGAGAAUAUGGAGAACUAUAGGACACAACGGGAAAAUUUCACGGGCAGUGUUGGACCUCGAGGUGCUGCAGUACAUGUUACGGAAAUUGUAGACGUUUUUAAAUGGUUUUUCAACAAAAAACUAAUUGACACUACUGUGAAAGAACAGAUACAAGGGGCGCAAACUAUAAGUCAGGUCGCCUGCUAGGGUUUGGAAACCUGUAACAGAGGGAGAGAUUUGUGUUGUAUUGGGUAUGUUUAUGCUCAUGGGCAUUAUUCAAAAAUCUACCCCUAGGUCAUAUUUUACAACCAAACGAGUGAUUUCCACAUCAGGAUUUAGAGAGGUUACGACACGAGACAAAUUGGAAUUAAUAUGUAGAUGUUUGUAUUUCGCUUACAAUGAUACCAUCAGCAAUUUUGAAGGACCAUAGAAACUUAAAAAAAAAUGUUCCCAAUAAUUUCACGUCGUAAUAACAGAUUUCAGGAACUGUAUAUCCCAAACCAGGACAUUUCAAUUCAUGAAUCAUUGACACUCUGGAAAGGCCGUCUUUCUUUCAAACAGUACCUCCCUCACAAAGCAUCCAAAUUUGGAAUAAAAACUUAUGAGCUGUGUGACUCCACCACAGGGUAUUUAUGGUCCUUGUAUUUACUGGCAAGGAUACAGAACUAGAAUCCCCCUUGAUGCCCUUGAUCACAGCUGACACCAGUAAAACAACAGCCAUUGUCCUGAAAUUGGUAGAACCUCUUCUGAAACAAGGUCAGAAGUGUGGAUGGAUAAUUUCUAUAAUUCAUCAUCCCUAGCCAGGCUACUGAAAAUCACACACAAGACUGACUGUGUUGGGACUCUCAAUUUGAACCGCAAAAGUGAAAAACACACAAAAAAGUGAAAUAGUGGCACAGCUUUCUGAACCUGUUUCUGUCACAAAGUGGUGCAACAAAAAAAUCGUGACCCUGUUACAAUUCGAGACAAGGAAGUGGUCAAACCAGUUCAGUAUUGGACUACAACAAAUCAGUGAUAGGGGUCGAUUUGAAAUACUAGCUGCUUCACUCUUAUUUGAUUGAGAGGAAGUGUAUGAAUAAAUGGUAUAUGAAGCUAUUUCACAGGCUCUUGAACACCUCAAUUCUGAAUGCAAUAAUAUGUAGGAGUAUCACUGGCACAAAAAUAAAUCAGUUGUCAUUCAGAAUUCAGUUGACUGAAGGACUUUCUGUGAAAUAUGCAAAUGCUGUAGAACACAAAGUGCCUGGUUGACAUUUAUCAGACAACACAGUGCCCCAUCUAAUUGAAUGAAAUUUAUAAGCAGGAUUCCACCAACAACAGAGAAAUCAAGACUGCAAAAACUGUGUGUUGUAUGCCAGAAGCAAGGGGAGAAGAAGGGCACUAUGUACUGGUGUGACAUGGGGCAUGGGACUCUGCAUUGAGUGUUUUCACGACUACCUCACACAGCUGAAUUUCUAAGGGAUGUUACAACGGUAAGGAUAACAUACAUCAGUGAAUCCAGAAGGAACUUACUCUGAUGUCAGCGUACCUUCAGUGUGACUUGGACAGACUGCCACCAACCAUGGUAUAAGUUACAUCAGAUAUUGCAGCAGCAAGAGACAGGAAAUUAACAUUGGAUGUGAUGCCAGUACAUACUAACAAGUAAGCACUGGCACCAAUCCAAGAGGAGAAAGCAUAAUGGAAUAUUUGAUGAGCUCAAGCCUGAAUAUAAUUAAUUGAGAUAAAAAAAAAACUCCCUUUACGAUUUGAAACAUGAUGGGAGUUACAGACCUGACACUAAGGACCAGUGAAGUAGCCCUGAAAAUUGAGGUGAUAUGUUCUUAAAGAUUGACAGGAUCUCUCCAAACUGCAUGGUGUUACAUCUUAGAAGACCACAACUC